GACGAACGCUGGCGGCGUGCUUAACACAUGCAAGUCGAACGGUGAAGCCCUGCGGGUUGGAUCAGUGGCGAACGGGUGAGUAACACGUGAGCAACCUGCCCCUGGCUCUGGGACAACCACUGGAAACGGUGGCUAAUACCGGAUACGACCCGCCUCGCCUUCGAGUGGGGGUGGAAAGUUUUUCGGCUGGGGAUGGGCUCGCGGCCUAUCAGCUUGUUGGUGAGGUGAAGGCUCACCAAGGCGACGACGGGUAGCCGGCCUGAGAGGGCGACCGGCCACACUGGGACUGAGACACGGCCCAGACUCCUACGGGAGGCAGCAGUGGGGAAUAUUGCACAAUGGGCGAAAGCCUGAUGCAGCGACGCCGCGUGAGGGAUGACGGCCUUCGGGUUGUAAACCUCUUUCAGCUCCGAAGAAGCGAGAGUGACGGUAGGGGCAGAAGAAGCACCGGCUAACUACGUG
Molecule: ribosomal RNA, 462 nt
Filed under: uncultured bacterium
Lineage: Bacteria
Description: partial 16S ribosomal RNA
Rfam family: Bacterial small subunit ribosomal RNA
Source: RNAcentral